RNAcentral lists this long non-coding RNA (2603 nucleotides) under Homo sapiens (human). Its description in RNAcentral is "HSALNT0018644". Lineage: Eukaryota; Metazoa; Chordata; Mammalia; Primates; Hominidae. The record is from RNAcentral.
GUAGGGAAACUGCAGAAUUUUGUGUCACGGGGACUCUUUCCAGCAGAUGGUGAAAUUAUACUGCAGUAGCCUCGGACACAAUACAGAGCACCAGAUGGACAUGAGGAUGUGUGAUUUUGCUCAUCGAUUCUGAAAAAGGGUACCUUACAAGUUAGAAAUUUGUAUUGUCUCUGCUUUUUGGAGAAAGGAAUCUUAACUUUUCUCAAGUAACCGAGGUUGCAGAGUGGGUCAAUAAGGAACGUGGGACAAGAACCCGCAUGCGCCUCUCUCCAAAAGUCUUCAUCCUCAACCCCUGCACCAGACUGUCUUCCACACAUGGGCUCUGAGCGGCCAGCACUGGAUCUGGAGAAGCCACCACCCUGUCCUGUCCUCCAGGCAGAACGGAAGUGUGCCUGACCCCAGCUGUAAGCACCCGCCCUCUGUGGCCCGGAAAGAAUCCAGUCGCAGGGCUUGGCCCUUCCCCAUCCCCUCCUCUGGGCAGCCCGCGUUGAGUCCCAUCUGGAACGUGGAGGAAGAAGGCCCUGUAGCAAACGCACAGCUAGACCCCCUCCCUCCCUGCCAGGCCUCCCUCGCCAACUCCAUGCCCAAUUUCAGCCCUGAGGGGCGAGAACAGCAGGUGCUCGGGCCGCCUUCGCCCUUGGUGUUCUGGGAGCCCAUUGUCUAAUUUUGCUCGGGCCUGGCCUGCUUCCUUUUUAGUCCUGCGCAUGUGGGCAGAGUACAAGCUAAUUGGCAGGGCUGUUCCAAAUCCUAAAGAACGCGCGCGCUGCCUGCUCGCCAGCGGGAGGGCCGUGUGCCCAGCUUGCGCCCUGACAUUUUCCGAGGCCUGGGCGAGGCCACCUGCCUGACGAAGGCUUACCAGGGAAAAUCAGGUCCUGACAGCCUGACAGGGACAACCGCCCAGAGGAUUCAUCUGCUCGCGAUGCCUGGUCAGCAAGGAGGAGACUCGACCUGGGACGAGGAAGAGGCCUUGAAGGGACAGAGGAGAGCGCAUCCUCCAUCCCCCGGCCAGGGAGAAGUCACGCGGACCCCCAGGUUGCUGGGCCGCGAUGGGGGGAAGAGGAGACCACCCCCAGCUCCGCAGCGAGCGCCCUCACUUCGGGGAGACAGAGGCGUCGAUCCCUCCUGCGGACGGCUGGGGGCGCUGCGCUUCAACCGAAGGCAGAGAUCCUGGACCGGGGCGAGGCAAGCCCUCCCGGAGGAGAGGAGCUCUGAAGGGGGAAAACAGCUCUGCAGAGUGUAGAGGAGCCGGACUUUGCAGCCAGGUACCUCUGUGCAAGUCUCAGCUGUGCCUCUGAAGUAGCUAGCCGUUGCCCAGCACUGUGCUAAGGUCUUUUCAUCACUGUGUAAUUGAAGGCUCACAGCCACCCUUUAAGGAAAACGAUCUUGUCGUCAUUAUUUUAUAAGAAAUGGAAUGGAAGCUCAGUGCCACCCCUAGCCCAUGGACACAUUCCCAGAGAGCGGCAGUGUGUCUGGCCUGGAACUUAAUGAAUUCUGUCGGACAGAAGUCCAUGCUCUUAACCAUUAGGCCUCCCAUACAAAGAUACUUUGUACGGGGACAUGAGACACAGCCUAAUAGCACAGAAACUCACAGAGGACGAGUUUCUUAGUUUUGUCAUCUCUGAAAUGGGAAUAAUAAUAUUACUCCCACCUUGCAAGGCUUUGGGAAAGAUUAGAGAGAAUGUAAAAAGGUCCAUGUGAGAGGUCCUCGUGGGUUAAUGUGUGGGGGGAGUCCCCAGUCCCUCCCCGGGCACUCAGAGCGAUGUGGGAAGACUGUGGAGCCCAUGCUUAUUGAUGCUGUUUCAUUUCAAUUAAACCUCCGUCAGAAACAUCGCAUGACAUCAAAAUGGAAGAGAUGUUGAGUCUGAACGGUGAGGUCAUAGAUUUUGUUUUUAUUUAUGUAUUUUCCAAAUAAAAAUAUGUAUCAUGUUUUCUCAUCAUAAUUGUAAUAUGUGAUGAUGUAUCAAUUAUGGAAAAUACAGAAACUGUAAAAGAGGAAAUGAGGAAAACCUUUGCUUCUCACUGUUACAGAUAACUACUGUUCAAAAUUAUAGAUAACAACUCUGGAGGCUGAGGUAGGAGGACUGCUUGAGCCCAAGAGUUCGAGGCUGCAGUGAACUAUGAUUGCACCAUUGCACUCCAGUCUGGGUGACCAGCAAGAUCCUGUCUCUAAAAAAAAUAAAAAUAAUAAAAAUUUUAAAAAUAUUUAAUUAAAAAAUUAUAAUGAAUAAUAAUUUAUUGUAUAUUUUAAAACAACUACAAGGAAAGAAUUAUAAUGUUCAUGACACAAAAAAAGAUAAAUGUUUGAGGUGACAGACAUCCCAAUUACCCUGACUUGAUCAUUACAUGUUGUAUACAUGUAUCAAAAUAUCACAUGUACCCCAAAAAUAUAUAUAACCAUGAUAUAUCAAUUAAAACAUACUAAAAAAGAGCGAUAACUACUCACUUUUCCUUUACUUAGAGUGUUUCAUUAAUACAUUUACUGUUUUACAGAAUUGGUAUCACAUUGUAGGUUACUAUACUACACUUUUAAAAUGUAAUAUUUCAUAAACAUUUUACCAUGACAUCAAAUAAUCUUAACACAUUUAAGAAUUAAUGGUUGCCUU